RNAcentral lists this long non-coding RNA (1305 nucleotides) under Apteryx owenii (little spotted kiwi). RNAcentral describes it as "lncRNA (ENSAOWG00000009818.1)". Lineage: Eukaryota; Metazoa; Chordata; Aves; Apterygiformes; Apterygidae. The record is from RNAcentral.
AAAAAAAUAUGUUUUUUGGCUCACCAGUUUAAAUUAAAAAAAAAUAAAACACCUAGUGAGUUUUGUGUGUGAUCAGGAUAGGGAAUUACUUAAUUUAUAUGUAUGGCCAAUGCAGAAAAGAAGAAUGUCUCUAAAUUCAGCAAGUGGUGUGUGUUGCUCUAAAGGCAGCAAGUGACUCAUGUGAUCAUCUUAGCAGCUGGGCAGCAAGAUUAGAGAGUCACUACGUACACAUUCCCUUACAGAGGGGUCCAAGCUAUUGCUAAAUGAAGUUGUGUUACAGCCAACAACCAAAUAACUGGCAUAAGAAAAUAGUAAAUAAGUGUGUCAUCAGGUCACUGCUCGUAUAAAAGAAAGUGAAAGAGCACACCUAAAUCUGCCCCAGGAAUGAAUCAACACAAAGGACCAUAAAGGAAGUAUCAGAAGACCAAGAAACAUAACAGAAUUCUUGAGCAGUGUCAUAAAUUCUCUGGACUGUGGUUUUGCAAAUGACAUUGCCACCGAAUCCAGGAAUGUGAUUUUUUUUGGGUAGUGCACAGUGCCACAGCAGGACCCCAAGACAAGCGUGUGAAUGCCCAGCAAAUAAAGCUCAAUAGCAUCACCAAUGCCGUGCAGUCUGACUGGGCUGGGGCCUGGGGCUGCAGGAAGCGCUGUGACUCAUCAGGUGGGAGCAAUAUCCAGGAAGUAGCUACAGAAUCCUGCAGAGGCUGGAGAAAGAAACGCAUCCAUAGGAGCCAGAAAAUGAGUGAAAAGGGAGUGUGUGUGUGUUUAUGUGUGUCAGGGGGAGGUUUGACACAAAAAUUGAAAGCACAUAUAAUGAUGCAGCCCAUAUGAAGAGGGGAAUUAUUAGCUAAAAGAUAGCUGUCAGAUUUCUGAAGAUAAACAAAAGGUGGAUCUGAACCUUGAAAUUGUCAGCUCAGCUCAGAAGGAGGCUGCAAAGGCAGAAUUGUGAAAAGAGGGUUUCCUGGAGAUUCCCAGAAGAUUGAGAUGGAUUAUGUGAUUCUGGAAGGAGACAAGAAGCAGGCAAUACAAAGUUGCUAAACAGUUGUAACAAAACACUCGUCAAGCACUUUACCCCUACCUUCAACACCUUGCAAAAUGUAAAAGACAUUUCAUAUUGAGACCACUGUUUCAGCUGAGUUAAUUAGAAACAUUUCCUCACAGUACUCAGCAUCUUGUGCACAUCAUCUAGAGGAGCACUCCUUGCACUACCUACUUUGUUUUUGUGGCUAUUAUUUUUUCAUUGAAAAAGCACCAUCAACUAAAUCAGUAAAUAAAUCAAUUUCCUAAAUGCCUGUCUGAAAAAUG